GACGGAUGGAACAGUUAACGUUUUGGCUUCUAUUUCAAUUGGUAUGGAAUAUGUUUGUUUGUUGACUAUCUGAUAUUGUGCUGGGCAAUCUAAAGGACUUACAAUGAUGGAAAUGCAAUCAUUGAAAAAUCUACAGAUUACCUAUUAGAGCAAUUAAGGAUUUUUGGUAGAAAUUAGCUUGCAGAUUACACUUAAUUUUAAUCUUUCUACACAUGACAAUGUUUUGAAAAGAGUUGGUAUAGUUGUUGAGCGAACAAUUCAUUGACCUUUGGAUGACUGCUUGUGGGACAUUUUGUGAGAUAAUUGGCCAAAAACUUUUUACUCAAAAUCAUAUCUCCACCGAGCUUCUUAAAGGGUAAGAGUUGUAUAUCUUAUUAGUAUUUUUUUUAAUGUUGAAAUCUCUGUUUUUCAAUAUUACUGAUAUGUUUAGCUCCAACAUUACCAUUGGCGUUUGACUACUGUUACCAAUGGUUCUAGCUCUAAUGUUGCUGUUGAUCUUAACUUCAAUUUUAUUUAAAGUUGUAACUCCCAUAUUACUAUUGGGUUUUAGUCCAACAUUGGCAUUGGUUGUAGCUUGAAUGUUGCCACUAGUUUUAUCUCUGAAAUUGACUAUCUUCGUAACUUUGUGAGUGGUAUUAGAUCAAUUUAAUUAUUGCAAGUUUUGGUGCUGCUGGUAGGGGCAUUUUAAAAGCAGAGAUAUGAUCUCUUGGAUUCACCCAAUUUUUGUUGUAAUUCUUACUGCUUUAUAUACAAGUAAGAUAGUAUUUUAAUUAACAUUUGCUAUUAAAAUCUUCUGAGAUACUCCUUAUGGCGGGGACUCUUGUGAUCGUAUAAGAAAUGUUAAUUUUAAGGAAAUUGUGGCGUUGGCAGACUAAAAAGAGGUACAAUCUUAUUGGAGUCUUACAGUGUUAUUCACAAAAGAUAUCAAUAUAAAUAAUGAACCUCCUUAGCUAUGCUUAAUAGUGACGGAAACUACUGGGUGUAUCUUCUAAUUCUGGCGGUAUGCUAUUGGAUAUUGUCAUGGUUUAUGUUUUAAGGUGAUGCAGCAGUGGUGUUCAAGGAAUUUGUUAUUGGUUAUGAUGACGAUUUGACGUGCAGAUGUCCUUAAGCUUCUAUGGUCGAGAGGCCCACUGUUUUCCUAGUAGCUGCAAUUUUCUAUUCAACCUUGCAAAGUGGUGGUGUAACCUUCUUUUCCCCUAUGUUGCUUUCUUGUUUCAUUUUUUGAGGGAUGAUGUACCUUAGGACUUUAUUAGGCUCAAAUUUUUCCUUUUUUUUUCUUGGGUGUGU
Molecule: long non-coding RNA, 1287 nt
Organism: Morus notabilis
Lineage: Eukaryota; Viridiplantae; Streptophyta; Magnoliopsida; Rosales; Moraceae
Exons: 4
Source: RefSeq, a predicted model, not a curated record